GUGCUUGCUUUGGCAGCACAUACACUGAAAUUGAAACAAUAGAUUAGCAUGACUGCUGCAUAAGAGCAACAUGCAAAUACAUGAAGGGAAAAACUUUAGG
Molecule: small nuclear RNA, 100 nt
Filed under: Dipodomys ordii (Ord's kangaroo rat)
Lineage: Eukaryota; Metazoa; Chordata; Mammalia; Rodentia; Heteromyidae
Source: RNAcentral